CAGGAGAAGAAGCAGAAGCUGGAGCAGCAGCCCGUGCCGAGCCUCCCCGAGGGCGCCCUCGUCGAGAUCCUUUCGCGAGUGCCCUACAGGUCCCUCUGCCGCUUCAAGUGCGUGUCCAAGCCGUGGCUCGUCCUCUGCUCCGCCCGGGACAUCCUCAAGAGGUCGCCACAGACCCUCUCCGGCUUCUUCUACAAGAACGCCGGUGUCCUCAAAUUCCGCAAUUUGUCCGGGAGAGGUCUGCCUCUGGUCGACCCUUCUCUCCCUUUCUUGCGGCAGAGGUACGAAAACGUUCAUGUCGAACAAUUGUGCGAAGGUCUUCUCCUUUGCAGCUGCUGGAAUUCGUGUUCUGCGUGUGAAAAUGAUUAUGUUGUGUGCAAUCCCGCGACUCAAGAGUGGACUGUGCUGCCUCCUGUAGUAUUUCCGGCUCAAGAGUGCAGCCACCCAUGGAAGAAAGGCAUACCAAUGACUUACUUAGGUUUCGAAGCCGCUGUCCCAACCCGCUUUAUGGUGUUUGCAACCCCUUACAAUGCUGACCACCUUCCUGGACAAAUGGCGAUCUACUCAUCAAAAACUGGACAGUGGACUUACGUGCAGACUAAGUGGUCCUCCGUAACUCAUGUGGAUUGUAGUAGACGCACACAUGUCUUCUUGAAUGGCACCAUGCAUUUGGCCACCCUUUGUAAUUCAAUAAUACCCACAGUUGACGUGGAGGGGAAAGUUUGGAAGGAGAUUCAAAUGCCAGUUGACUGGACGAGCUGUAAUAUUGUUUUGACUGGGCAAUCUCAAGGGCGUUUGUAUGCGUGGCAGGUGGAUUAUUGUGAUGAUAGUGAACUCGAUAUUUGGGUUCUUGAGGACUAUGGUACUGGAAAGUGGACCCUAAAGCAUACUGUUAAUGUUUCAGAGCUGUUCGGAAGGCAUUGUCGCAAAGAUGGUGAUUUUUAUCAGAUGUUUGCAAUUCAUCCAGAUUGUAAUGUCAUUUUCCUUACCAACCAGAAGAAGAAGACAGUGUCAUACGAUAUGGAUAAUCAGAAAGUACAUGUUAUCUGCGAUGAGUUCAUGAUUGGGCUACCUUAUACUCCCUGUUUUGCGGAACUGCCAUCAGCUGGUCACUGA
RNAcentral lists this ribosomal RNA (1113 nucleotides) under Triticum aestivum (bread wheat). Its description in RNAcentral is "partial small subunit ribosomal RNA". Lineage: Eukaryota; Viridiplantae; Streptophyta; Magnoliopsida; Poales; Poaceae. The record is from RNAcentral.